GGAUAUGAGGGCAAUCUGGCUGUGACAUCUGUCACCCCAUUGAUCGCCAGGGUCAAUUUGGCUGAUCUGGCUGGCUAGGCAGGUAUCCCUAUGCUCCCUUACAGCUCUACGUACAUCCCUCCCUAAGCUGCAUACUCAGUGGAAGAGGAUGACCUUCCCAGAUAGAGGAGGACCUUUCUUUGUUAAAGGGUAUAUAAGUAAUUAGGCUUCCCUGCUGGAACCCCCAAAUAGGCUCUCAAAAUUAUUUCUUAUAGUUCUGCAGUUUAGGAAGUCCAAGAUAAAGGGGUGACACCUGGUGAGAGCAUUAUUU
Molecule: small nuclear RNA, 310 nt
Filed under: Propithecus coquereli (Coquerel's sifaka)
Lineage: Eukaryota; Metazoa; Chordata; Mammalia; Primates; Indriidae
Description: 7SK RNA (ENSPCOG00000008745.1)
Rfam family: 7SK RNA
About the family: 7SK was discovered as an abundant small nuclear RNA in the mid-70s but a possible function has only recently been suggested. Two independent studies have found that 7SK RNA binds the CDK9/cyclin T complex (known as elongation factor P-TEFb).
Source: Rfam by way of RNAcentral